RNAcentral lists this long non-coding RNA (209 nucleotides) under Elaeis guineensis (African oil palm). Its description in RNAcentral is "long non-coding RNA (EGUI_LNC072215)". Lineage: Eukaryota; Viridiplantae; Streptophyta; Magnoliopsida; Arecales; Arecaceae. The record is from RNAcentral.
CCAGUUGGUUCUUAUAGUAUAUAGAGUGCCUACAACUGUUUUGUUCCUUAAUUAUUUAAGUUGAGACUACAAAACUUCUACUAUAUUGAUUUUAUACAAAAAGUUUUUGAUUUAUUAUUUGAUAUCUAUAUGUUAGUUUGUCUUGUAUCUCUAUUUAUUGAUUAACUUUCUCUUUCAUUGUUUAUUUGGUUACAUUGUUUAUUCUGGUC